Molecule: long non-coding RNA, 312 nt
Organism: Telopea speciosissima
Lineage: Eukaryota; Viridiplantae; Streptophyta; Magnoliopsida; Proteales; Proteaceae
Exons: 3
Source: RefSeq, a predicted model, not a curated record
AAAAAAGAUUGCCAACUAUUCAUUAAAACCAUCUACGUACUAAGAUAGUGGUAGAAAGAAUACCAAACUGCGUCCGGACUUCAAAUUCAUUUUAACCAUGUUAAUGGUCCCACAUUAUUGGUAUUGGUUGAUAGUGAAUCAUAGUGGAUUUACCAAUGAGUCACGAAAUGCUAUGGUUCUUACAUAUGAUUUGAUUUUUGCUUUUCUUUUUUAUUUUCAAAAGUAAUUCGCAAGAUCGUCACCUUUCUUUCCUAGUUUUUAGUUUGAAAGAAGAAAAAAAAAAAAAGAGAAGAAACCAAAGUGGAUUUACCA